CACAGCCGCCAACAACUACCGCCCUCUCAGCGUCGCGGGCGGUUUGAACGGACCGGAAGUAGAAGUCGAGCGACUUCCGGUAGCUGGACGUGGAAGAGCAAGGAGUGUCGAGAAUGGCGACCAAGCGGCUCGCGCGGCAGCUUGGAUUAAUUAGGAGAAAGUCAAUUGCACCAGCAAAUGGAAAUCUAGGAAGAAGGAAAUCCAAGCAGUUGUUUGACUACUUAAUUGUCAUUGAUUUUGAAUCGACAUGCUGGAAUGAUGGGAAGCACCACCAUAGCCAGGAAAUAAUUGAAUUUCCAGCAGUGUUGCUAAACACAUCAACUGGACAGAUUGAAUCUGAGUUCCAGGCUUAUGUUCAACCUCAGGAACAUCCAAUUCUUUCAGAAUUUUGCAUGGAAUUGACAGGCAUAAAGCAGGCUCAAGUUGAUGAAGGAGUCCCUCUGAAGAUUUGCUUAUCUCAGUUCUGUAAAUGGAUUCAUAAGAUUCAGCAACAGAAGAACAUUAUUUUUGCUACUGGGGUUUCAGAGCCUUCUACUUCUGAAGUAAAAUUAUGUGCAUUUGUUACUUGGUCAGACUGGGACUUGGGGGUUUGCCUGGAGUAUGAGUGUAAAAGAAAACAGCUGUUAAAACCUGUGUUUUUAAAUUCUUGGAUUGAUCUCAGAGCAACUUACAAGCUUUUCUAUAGGAGAAAACCGAAAGGACUAAGUGGUGCCUUGCAGGAAGUAGGAAUAGAAUUCUCAGGACGAGAACAUUCUGGGUUGGACGAUUCUCGGAAUACCUCCCUUCUUGCUUGGAAAAUGAUCAGAGAUGGUUGUGUAAUGAAAAUUACAAGGUCGUUGAACAAGGUGUGGCUGUCACUGGCAUGUCUGCAAAGGAAAAACUACAAUGACUGCAUGUUAAACACAGCAUCACAGACUGUUACCACUGAAAAAUUUUGAGAAGCUCUCCACUUGAACCUCUUCAUGUCAUGAAUCAGGAUGGAUCUCACUCUGUCACCCAGACUGGAGUGCAGUGGCACGACCACCCCUCCCUGCAGCCUGAACUUCUGGGAUGAAGCGAUCCUCCUGCCUCAGCCUCCAGAGUACCUGGAAUUACAGUCUAAAGAAGAGGGAGGAGCAGUCUGAUAAUCCGGAGGAGCAAGACUGGCCCAAAGCACUUUCCUUGAUUAGUGGAGACAUUCUGGAGGAGGAGCCAAGCUCUGGGCUAAAGUUUACAGGACUCCCAGCGGUUCCUCUUACAGGUAAUGAUUUACAGACACAGCAAGCUUUUGAGGGGCCGAGAAAGCAAAUUAUUCACAAGAAGGAAAGUGUCCAAGGAGUUGCCGAAGUGGUCAGUUCUGUAAAGGGGCAGAGAGAGCACUUCUCAGAAGGACGAACAGAUGGAGGAAGCCAUAGAGGAGUUUUGAAAUUGAAAGGAAAGAAGUUGAGGGGCGGUUAUGGGUUGGCCUAAAUCUUAUCAAGCCCAUUGGUGCGUUUAUCUGUCGAAGUGGCAGGACUAAACAUAAAUGCUAUCAGGUUACUCCCCUGCUCAAAUCUUUCAGUGCUUCUCUUUCCACUCCAGGUAAAAUCCGAGUCCUUACAUGAACUGCAAGGAGUUGUAUGAUCUGGCACAGGGUCCUCUGAUCCACAGCCCAUUCUCCUUCCUCUGCCUCACUCUGCACAGCCACCAGCCUCCUUGCUUUUUCUCAAACACACUUGCCUGUUUCAGCCUCAGGCUUUCUGAAUUCACAGUUCCCACUGACUGGAACUCUUUCCUCAGAUAUCCCCCUGGCCAAAUUCCUCAUUUUAUGAGGUGUCUUAUUAAAUAACUCUUUCCUUACCUCAUUUUCUAAAGUAGCACUCUUCAUUUUUUCUCUUUUACCUUUUUUUAACUUUUUACAUCUCUUACUAUCAUCCUUGAGGGUAAGAACUCUUUUUGUUUGAUGGUGUAUCUAUUGCCUGGAAUAGCUACUGGCAAAUUUUAGGCAUUCAAUAAAUAGUUGAUGGAUAUGUGAAUAAAUAAAGGACUCUUUCAAUUACACGUGAGAGACCCAACUUAAAUUUACUUAAAGAGGAAUUUGUUGGUCACUUUUGAGUUCUAGGAGUCUUUUGUUGUUGAUUCCUUGGGAUUUUCUGUGUAAUCACAUUACCUGUAAAUAAGUAAACAGAUUUUACUUCUUUCUUUCAGAUCUAUAUGCUUUUUAUUUCCUUUUCUUGCCUUAUUGCGCAGGCUAGAAUGUCUAGCUCUAUGUUAAAUAAGAGUGAUGAGAGCAGACAUCCUUGCCUUGCUUUUGAUCUUAGAGGGAAAACAUUCAGUCUUUCAUGGUUAGGUACAAUAUUAGUUGUAGGUUUUGUGUAGAUGCUCUUUAUCAAGUUGAGGAAAUUCUCUAUUUCUAUUUUUUUCUGAGUGUUUUUAUCAUGAAUAGGUGUUGAAUUUUGGCAAGUGUUUUUUCUUCAUCAGUUACUAUAAGCAUGUGGUGUUUUUCUUCUUUAGCCUGUUAAUAAGAUAGAUUACACUGAUCUUCUAAUAUUGAACCAGCCUUGCCUCCCUGGAAUAAACCUCGCUUGGUCCUGGUGUAUAUUUCUUUUUCUGUAUUGCUGAAUUCUAUAGUUAUGUCUCUUGACAAAUUUGAGAACUUUUCAGCUAUUAUUUCUUGGAGUAAAUUUUUAGCGCACAUGUUAGAUCUUUUAUGAUAGUUUCACAGGUCCCUGAGGCUCUGUUCUUUUUUUUCCUUUUUUCCCAUUCUAGUUUCUUUCUGUUGUUCAGGUUGAGUAAAUUCUGGUUUCCAGUUCUUUGAUUUUUUUCUUCUAUUAUUUCUAUUCUGAUGUUAAGCUCAUUAUUAGAGAUAGGGAAAAAACUUUUUUUUUUUCUACUCUCACAUACCAUUCAACAUAAUGUUAGCAGUGGUGAAUCCAUAUGGAUCUACAGUAACUUGAUUCUUGCCUCUUCAAAGGAAAGAAUUCAUCCAAGAGGCAUAAGGCAGAGUGAGAGACUGAGGCAAGUUUUUGAGCAGGAGUGAGAGUUUAUUAGAAAGUUUUAGAGCAGGAACCAAAGGAAGAGGGGCAAGCAGGCAACUUGAGAGAUCCAGGUGCCCUGUUUGACUUUUGACUUUGUGUUGUAUAUGUUGGCAUGCUUCCGAGGUUUUGUAUCUCCUUUGAUUUUUUCCUUGGCGUGGGCUGUCUGCACAUGCAGUGGCCUGUCAGCACUUGGGAGGGGCCGCAUGUGCAAUGUCUUUACUGAAGUUGUGCACAUUCUCAUUUGAGGCGUUUUUACCUUACCAGUCAAGUGUUCCUAGAGGAAGGUUGUAUACCAGUUAAAAUCUGCCAUUUUGCCUCUUAGUGCGCAUGCUUGAACACACUUGCCCAGCUCCUGAGAUCUUAUUGGAAAGCUGCUGAUCACCAGCUUUAGGUGUUUUCUAUCUCUUAGGAGACUGCCUUUCCCUGGCACCUACUGCAACCAAUUAUUUUAGAGUGACAGUUUAAUAACCGCCUGACCAUCACCUGAUUGUCACCUGACAUUCUUGCCUUUCCUGCCUUGCCCAUAUCUGCCUGACUACCUACUCUAACAAUAACACUUCUGACACUAGACGCGUGGGGGGUUUUCACUAUACCAAGCAAUUCUCCAGUGGACACCAGCUUGGGUGUCAUGUCCUACUCAGUUCAACACUGUCUGCCUGGAAAUAGUGUCAGAUCCUACAGGUUAAGGUCUCAAUCUGUAAACUAAAAAGUAUCUGAGACAGGUCUCAAUUAAUUUAGAGGUUUAUUUUGCCAUGGUUAAGGACCAUGAUGCAUGACACAACUUUAGGAGGUCCUGAGAACAUGUGCCCAAGGUGAUUGGGUUACAGUUUGAUUUGAUACAUUUUAGGGACAAAGAAGUUAUAGGCAAAGACAUAAAACAAUACAUGCUGAGGAGGCUGAGGCAGAAAAAUUGCUCAAACCUGGGAGGUGGAGGUUGCAGUGAGCUGAGAUCAUGCCACCGCACUCCAGCCUGGGCACUCCAGCCUGGGUGACAGAGUGAGACUCCAUCUCAAAAAAAAAAUGUGUAUACAUUGGUUCAGCCUGGAAAGUUGGGACAUCUCAAAGGAGGAAGGGGCUGGGCUUUCAGGUAAUAGGUGGAUUUAAAGAUCUCCUGAUUGGCAAUUGGUUGAAAGGGCUAAACUCUGGCUGAAGAGUUGAAAUCAGCUUGAGUUAAGGUAAAGGGUGCGGGUUUGCAGAAGCCAAGGUUCUUUUCAAGUAGAUGAAGCCUCCAGGUAGCAGGCCUCAAAGACAACACUUGUGAAUGUCUCUUAUUAGACCUUAAAAGGUAUCACACUCUCUGGAAAUACAUAGUAAAGAUGAAGAAGGAAUUAAUGAAAUCAACUAUAACCUAAUAGUAGUAGUAAUAGAAAUUUUUAAAUCCUCUUAAAGUUGCUGCAACUUUAACUUGAGUUAUACUCAAGUUAAAAGAGAAUAUUAACAGCCUGUCUUCUCUCUGUGGUCAGUGGACCUUAUCUAUACUCCCCAACUACACAUUCCUCAAAAUUUAUUACAGGCCCAGUGAGUUCCUGCUUACCUCCCUAGCAUGGCUGCAGGGUCGCAAGACCAAUAACUUUAAGUUGCAAGACAUGUUUUUCUCAAGAUGUAAGAAAUGUUGUAAUGCUUGAUUAACUGCCUUUGUUUCUCACUUCUGUAACUUGCUUCCCACCUCACGUAGUUCCCGCCUUAAGAUGUUUAAAAGUAGGGAAAGCCCUUUGUUCGGGGCUCAGACUUUCUGGACAUAUGUCUGGCUGAGCCAGUGAUCACCUUAAUAAACUCUCCUGAACCU
Pongo pygmaeus (Bornean orangutan) is the source of this 4782-nucleotide RNA transcript. It is a transcript of the gene named ERI1 exoribonuclease family member 2, with no coding region annotated. Lineage: Eukaryota; Metazoa; Chordata; Mammalia; Primates; Hominidae. The record is from RefSeq and is a predicted model, not a curated record. The transcript is spliced from 11 exons.